RNAcentral lists this unclassified non-coding RNA (241 nucleotides) under Ascomycota sp. RNAcentral's name for it is "partial contains small subunit ribosomal RNA, internal transcribed spacer 1, and 5.8S ribosomal RNA". The stretch from base 1 to 47 matches the Rfam family "Eukaryotic small subunit ribosomal RNA", at positions 1785 to 1831 of the family's 1831-position model. Lineage: Eukaryota; Fungi; Ascomycota. The record is from RNAcentral.
AAAGUCGUAACAAGGUCUCCGUUGGUGAACCAGCGGAGGGAUCAUUACCGAGUUUACAAACUCCCAAACCCUUUGUGAACAUACCUUAUUGUUGCUUCGGCGGGACCGCCCCGGCGCCCUCGGGCACCGGAACCAGGCGCCCGCCGGAGACCCCAAACUCUUAUGUCUUUUGUGGUUUUCUCCUCUGAGUGACACAUAAACAAAUAAAUAAAAACUUUCAACAACGGAUCUCUUGGUUCUG